CCUACGUGUGGCAGCAGUGAGGAAUAUUGGUCAAUGGACGAGAGUCUGAACCAGCAAAGUAGCGUGAAGGAUGACUGCCCUAUGGGUUGUAAACUUCUUUUAUAUGGGAAUAAAAUGUUCCACGUGUGGGAUUUUGUAUGUACCAUAUGAAUAAGGAUAGGCUAACUCCGUGACAGCAGCCGCGGUAAUACGGAGGAUCCGAGCGUUAUCCGGAUUGUUUGGGUUUAAAGGGAGCGUAGGUGGAUUGUUAAGUCAGUUGUGAAAGUUUGCGGCUCAACCGUAAAAUUGCAGUUGAAACUGGCAGUCUUGAGUACAGUAGAGGUGGGCGGAAUUCGUGGUGUAGCGGUGAAAUGCUUAGAUAUCACGAAGAACUCCGAUUGCGAAGGCAGCUCACUGGACUGCAACUGACACUGAGGCUCGAAAGUGUGGGUAUCAAACAGGAUUAGAUACCCUUGUAGUC
Molecule: ribosomal RNA, 460 nt
Filed under: uncultured bacterium
Lineage: Bacteria
Description: partial 16S ribosomal RNA
Rfam family: Bacterial small subunit ribosomal RNA
Source: RNAcentral